This 201-nucleotide long non-coding RNA is filed under the name Lathyrus oleraceus (garden pea). RNAcentral describes it as "Pisum sativum (pea) long non-coding RNA (PSAT_LNC001035)". The record is from RNAcentral. Lineage: Eukaryota; Viridiplantae; Streptophyta; Magnoliopsida; Fabales; Fabaceae.
AGUGAGUUUUUGUAAAAGGGUGAAAAUAUGAAAAGAAACAAGAAAAAGAAAUCACCCUUGAAACCAUAGAGCAAAAAAAAAAUGCUCAUGGUUGUGUGGAUGUAAAAAGAAAAAAAAAUAGGGAUCAAAGAAAGGGAAAUUGUGUAGAGUUGAAUGUUUGGGAAUGCUCCCUUAGGAUAGGCAACUUUGUAAAUUCUCUUA